GAGAUAAAUAGGUUACUAAAAAUUUGCUAAAUUUUUUUGUUCAGGUUUCAAUACUUGGUUAUCUUG
This 66-nucleotide transfer RNA is filed under the name Botrylloides giganteus. RNAcentral's name for it is "transfer RNA-Ser(AGY)". Lineage: Eukaryota; Metazoa; Chordata; Ascidiacea; Stolidobranchia; Styelidae. The record is from RNAcentral.